CCUACGGGACGCAGCAGUGGGGAAUAUUGCACAAUGGGGGAAACCCUGAUGCAGCAACGCCGCGUGAGUGAAGGAGGUUUUCGGAUUGUAAAGCUCUGUUAGCAGGGAAGAGGAAGGACGGUACCUGCAGAGGAAGCCACGGCUAACUACGUGCCAGCAGCCGCGGUAAUAUGUAGGUGGCAAGCGUUGUUCGGAAUAACCGGGCGUAAAGGAUGCGUAGGCGGGUAAGCAAGUUAUAUGUUAAAUAUAUAGGCUUACCCUGUAGAAAGCAUAUAAAACUGUUUAACUAGAGUGACGGAGAGGUA
RNAcentral lists this ribosomal RNA (305 nucleotides) under uncultured bacterium. RNAcentral describes it as "bacterial SSU rRNA". It matches the Rfam family "Bacterial small subunit ribosomal RNA", at positions 338 to 659 of the family's 1533-position model. The record is from RNAcentral.